RNAcentral lists this microRNA precursor (96 nucleotides) under Nicotiana sylvestris (wood tobacco). RNAcentral describes it as "MIR6152 microRNA precursor family". It matches the Rfam family "MIR6152 microRNA precursor family". Lineage: Eukaryota; Viridiplantae; Streptophyta; Magnoliopsida; Solanales; Solanaceae. The record is from Rfam by way of RNAcentral. RNAcentral also lists the same sequence under 1 other name.
AGACAGAUUAUUGUAUUCGACUGUAUUCGCGGCAUGAAAUAGGGGAUUACACUGUUUUUAAAACGGAAAGUGAAUCAAUUAACAUAAUAGAUGUCA